RNAcentral lists this long non-coding RNA (1754 nucleotides) under Fukomys damarensis (Damara mole-rat). Its description in RNAcentral is "lncRNA (ENSFDAG00000028854.1)". The record is from RNAcentral. Lineage: Eukaryota; Metazoa; Chordata; Mammalia; Rodentia; Bathyergidae.
AUGCACCCACACUGUAAAAUGUCUAUAAUGAGACUCUUUCUUGAACAGGCACUGAGAGAUAAUGUGAAGGUAUCUAUACAGAAUGCGCAUGUCCUACAAGACUUGGGGACUUCAGGCCUGUAUACAAGUUCAAGCUAUUGUACUGCAAACUGUCUAGCCAGGAAGCAGCAGAGAAACACCUGGAUGCUCCUUACAUCAACUCUUCAGAAUGUAUUCAACGAGUUUGUUGAUUUUAGCUUUUUAAACUAACACUGAAACUUCAAAUUAUAGAUCUGGCACUUUCAUUAGAGAUCAUUUGGACUAAACAAUACAUUGUAGAGAUGAGAGAAAGCUGAGAACCAGAAAAAUAAACAUGCAAGUAACAAACAUGAUAAACAUGAAGAUAACAAGGCCAGCUUUAAGAACUAGCUCACUGGACUAAGUCCAGAUGCCAGGCUUGAUUAUACCCUGGGCAAACCAAUUCGCACUAGAAAAAAGAGAACCGUGAAGUUCAUCAAAUGGGUACUUUAUUGAUCCUUUAUAGCAGGGAAAUGUGAUCAUAUUUGCCUUAAGAAAAUAAUUUGGCAUACAUAUUGUGAUUGUGCAUUUAAAAUCUGAAUUGUGGCCCAAAGGAAAGAAAACAGGGCUGAACGCUACAUAUUUAGACCCAUAUUCUCUUUACAAUUACUCAAAUUUUUGUCUUAUAAUAAUUGAUAGUAAUAAAAAGUUGUGGAGCAGAAAACAAAAGAAAACAAAAAAACAUGUUGUGGGCUAAGAAUAAGCCAUGGAAUUGUGAGGCCUUUCUGAAAACAAUUGUACACUUUCAUGAAGCAAAAUCUAUUAUUGUGUCAUAUAUUCAUAGUGCACAAUGUAGCAUCCAUCCACCCAUUAAUACUGUAAGCCACUGGGCAAAAUGGCAGGCACAGUGAAGAAUACAGAGAGUAAGAUUCUGAAUUCAUCAGAAAUGAUGACCGAGAACAAUAACAUGCAGCUUUGCUUAUACAGAUGCUCAGCUGGAUUGUCAGUGUCAUCUGCUUCUGGAAUAUCCCACAGUACUAUGAGCUUUUGGGAGACAUCGAGACACAAACCACAACGAUAAUACUACAGAUAACCAUCACAACUGUCUAUUAUCAACUUGCAUCAUUUGUCAAUAAAAAUUGGGGGGAGAUCCUGAUGUUUGAAAAGAAUGCCCUCAAACCCUGUCUGAAAAUUAUUUUAGUCAGUUAAAUUACAUGUGUGCAUAUGUAUUUACACACUAGCUCUUAAUUUCUCAGCAGUCAAUUCUUUCUCCUAUACAAGGAGACAAAUUAAACACUGAGCACAGGGCCUGAUGCAUAAGAUGGAAGUGUGGCCCACAUUGCUUAGAUACCUUUCUUUCUUAUAUAAACUGCUGUUUCUUCACGUCGCCUAAAAUAUUUUUAGGUAAAUACUGUGGUAGAGGCCCGUCUUCGUUAGUCAGGAGGCUGAGGUGGAGAAUUCAAGUUGGAGAUCAGCAUGGGCAAAUUAGCAAGGUCUUAUUUCAAAACAGAAAUUAAAACAGGCUGGGGAUGUAGCUCAGUGGUUGAACACUUGCACUGCAUGUGUGGGGUACUGGGUUGAAUUUUAGUACUACUUCAAAACAAAAAGAAAUAAUAAAAAUUCUGUUUUUAGUGAUCCAUUCUCCUUUAAAGAAUGUAUGUAAUGCUUUGACUGCUGAAAGUACCUGUAUGUGCUUGCUGAUCAUCUGUAACAUGCUCAGGUUUGAGAGAACAAAGGUGAAAUGAAAUGAGCAAACC